UACGUAGGGUGCGAGCGUUAAUCGGAAUUACUGGGCGUAAAGCGUGCGCAGGCGGUUUUGUAAGCCGGAUGUGAAAUCCCCGGGCUUAACCUGGGAAUGGCAUUCGGGACUGCAAGGCUGGAGUGCGGCAGAGGAGACUGGAAUUCCUGGUGUAGCAGUGAAAUGCGUAGAUAUCAGGAGGAACACCGAUGGCGAAGGCAGGUCUCUGGGCUGAAACUGACGCUCAUGCACGAAAGCGUGGGGAGCAAACAGG
Molecule: ribosomal RNA, 253 nt
Filed under: uncultured bacterium
Lineage: Bacteria
Description: partial 16S ribosomal RNA
Rfam family: Bacterial small subunit ribosomal RNA
Source: RNAcentral